UUUAACAAGGACCCAUUGGAGGGCAAGUCUGGUGCCAGCAGCCGCGGUAACUCCAGCUCCAAUAGCGUAUAUUAAAGUUGUUGCGGUUAAAAAGCUCGUAGUCGGAUGUCUGUCUUCGGCCGGGCGUCGAUUGCUCUGAAUCAAGGGUAGUCGAUAUCGCUCUGCGGUUUCCGGGUCAAACCGGGGACUGCUUAACGGUCGGACAACACCGCCGGAGUGUCGCUGAUCGAACCUCGGGCGCAAGCUCGGGGACCUCGGUCUCGACCGUAAUGUUGUAGGGUGCCCUUAACCGGGUGUCCUAUAACGCCGGCACUGUUUACUUUGAACAAAACUGAUUGCUUAAAGAAGGUGACUAUCGCCUGAAAGAUGCAGCAUGGAAUGAUAAAAGAGGACCUCGGUCUUAUUUUGCUGGUCUUUUCUUUAGACCCGAGGUAAUGAUCAAUAGAAUCAGACGGGG
Molecule: ribosomal RNA, 457 nt
Filed under: Chydorus sphaericus
Lineage: Eukaryota; Metazoa; Arthropoda; Branchiopoda; Diplostraca; Chydoridae
Description: bacterial SSU rRNA
Rfam family: Eukaryotic small subunit ribosomal RNA
Source: RNAcentral